Molecule: non-coding RNA, 89 nt
Organism: Acanthosepion pharaonis
Lineage: Eukaryota; Metazoa; Mollusca; Cephalopoda; Sepiida; Sepiidae
Source: the annotation of a GenBank genome assembly
ACCACUGGUUCCCGAACGAUCAUCGAAGUUAAGCAACGUCAAGUCUGGUCAGUACCUAGAUGGGUGACCGCUUGGUAAUAUCAGGUGCU